ACUCCUACGGGAGGCAGCAGUGGGGAAUAUUGCACAAUGGGCGCAAGCCUGAUGCAGCCAUGCCGCGUGUGUGAAGAAGGCCUUCGGGUUGUAAAGCACUUUCAGUUGUGAGGAAGGUGGUGGUCGUUAAAUAGCGGCAUCAUUUGACGUAUGCAACAGAAGAAGACACCGGCUAACGUCCUGCCAGCAGCCGCGGUAAUACGGAGGGUGCGAUCGUUAAUCGGAAUUACUGGGCGUAAAGCGCAUGCAGGUGGUUUGUUAAGUCAGAUGUGAAAGCCC
This 279-nucleotide ribosomal RNA is filed under the name uncultured bacterium. RNAcentral describes it as "partial 16S ribosomal RNA". It matches the Rfam family "Bacterial small subunit ribosomal RNA", at positions 335 to 603 of the family's 1533-position model. The record is from RNAcentral.